RNAcentral lists this ribosomal RNA (1005 nucleotides) under Bacillus sp. (in: firmicutes). Its description in RNAcentral is "bacterial SSU rRNA". It matches the Rfam family "Bacterial small subunit ribosomal RNA", at positions 242 to 1250 of the family's 1533-position model. The record is from RNAcentral. Lineage: Bacteria; Bacillati; Bacillota; Bacilli; Caryophanales; Bacillaceae.
UAGCUAGUUGGUGAGGUAACGGCUCACCAAGGCGACGAUGCGUAGCCGACCUGAGAGGGUGAUCGGCCACACUGGGACUGAGACACGGCCCAGACUCCUACGGGAGGCAGCAGUAGGGAAUCUUCCGCAAUGGACGAAAGUCUGACGGAGCAACGCCGCGUGAGUGAUGAAGGUUUUCGGAUCGUAAAGCUCUGUUGUUAGGGAAGAACAAGUGCCGUUCAAUAGGGCGGCACCUUGACGGUACCUAACCAGAAAGCCACGGCUAACUACGUGCCAGCAGCCGCGGUAAUACGUAGGUGGCAAGCGUUGUCCGGAAUUAUUGGGCGUAAAGGGCUCGCAGGCGGUUUCUUAAGUCUGAUGUGAAAGCCCCCGGCUCAACCGGGGAGGGUCAUUGGAAACUGGGGAACUUGAGUGCAAAGAGGAGAGUGGAAUUCCCGUGUAGCGGUGAAUGCGUAGAGAUGUGGAGGAACACCAGUGGCGAAGCGACUCUCUGGUCUGAACUGACGCUGAGGAGCGAAAGCGUGGGGAGCGAACAGGAUUAGAUACCCUGGUAGUCCACGCCGUNAACGAUGAGUGCUAAGUGUUAGGGGGGUNUNCCGCCCUUAGUGCUGCAGCUAACGCAUUAAGCACUCCGCCCUGGGGAGUACGGUCGCAAGACUGAAACUNCNAAGGAAUUGACGGGGCCCGCACAAGCGGUGGAGCAUGUGGUUUAAUUCGAAAGCACGCGAAGAACCUUACCAGGUCUUGACAUUCCUCUGACAUCCUAGAGAUAGGACGUCCCCCUUCGGGGCAGAAUGACAGGUGGUGCAUGGGUGUCGUCAGCUCGUGUCGUGAGAUGUUGGGUUAAGNUNCCGCACGAGGCGCACCCUUGAUCCUAGUUGCCAGCAUUCAGUUGGGCACUCUUAGGUGACUGCCGGUGACAAACCGGAGGAAGGGUGGGAUGACGUCAAUCAUCAUGCCCUUAUGACUGGGCUACACCGUGCUACAUGGGCAAACAAGGGCACC